This 958-nucleotide non-coding RNA is filed under the name Ptilocercus lowii (pen-tailed tree shrew). RNAcentral describes it as "12S ribosomal RNA". It matches the Rfam family "Bacterial small subunit ribosomal RNA". The record is from RNAcentral. Lineage: Eukaryota; Metazoa; Chordata; Mammalia; Scandentia; Tupaiidae.
CAUAGGUUUGGUCCUGGCCUUUUUAUUAGUUAGUAGUAAAUUUACACAUGCAAGCCUCCACAUUCCGGUGAGAAUGCCCUCUAAAUUAAAUUAAUUAAAAGGAGCAGGUAUCAAGCACACAAAUAGUAGCUCACAACACCUUGCUCAACCACACCCCCAAGGGAAACAGCAGUGAUAAAAAUUAAGCAAUAAACGAAAGUUUGACUAAGUUAUACUACAAAAUCUAAGGGUUGGUAAAUAUCGUGCCAGCCACCGCGGUCAUACGAUUAACCCUAAUUAAUAAAACACGGCAUAAAGGGUGUUUAAUUAACACAGCAACUAAAGUUAAAAAUUAAUUAAGUUGUAAAAAACUAAAAUUAAUUAUAAAACCACUGACGAAAGUAACUUUAAUUUUAUUGAACACACGAUAUCUAAGACUCAAACUGGGAUUAGAUACCCCACUAUGCUUAGCCCUAAACCUAGAUAAUUAAUAAAAUAAAAUUAUUCGCCAGAGUACUACGCGCAACUGCCUAAAACUCAAAGGACUUGGCGGUGCUUUAUAUCCACCUAGAGGAGCCUGUUCUAUAAUCGAUAAACCCCGAUCAACCUUACCACCCCUUGCUAAUUCAGUCUAUAUACCGCCAUCUUCAGCAAACCCUAAAAAGGACAAACAGUAAGCAAAAUGAUCAGCAUAAAAACGUUAGGUCAAGGUGUAACCUAUGGGGUGGGAAGAAAUGGGCUACAUUUUCUAUCACAGAACAUGACACGACAGCCAUUAUGAAAACCUAAGGGCCAAAGGAGGAUUUAGUAGUAAAUUAAGAAUAGAGAGCUUAAUUGAAACAGGCUAUGAAGCACGCACACACCGCCCGUCACCCUCCUCAAUAACUACUAACUAUAAUUACAUAAUAACUAAUAAGUGCUCAAGAGGAGAUAAGUCGUAACAAGGUAAGCGUACUGGAAAGUGCGCUUGGAAUAAAAC